This 72-nucleotide transfer RNA is filed under the name Ictidomys tridecemlineatus (thirteen-lined ground squirrel). Its description in RNAcentral is "Spermophilus tridecemlineatus (thirteen-lined ground squirrel) tRNA". It matches the Rfam family "tRNA". From Rfam's summary of the family: Transfer RNA (tRNA) molecules are approximately 80 nucleotides in length. Their secondary structure includes four short double-helical elements and three loops (D, anti-codon, and T loops). Lineage: Eukaryota; Metazoa; Chordata; Mammalia; Rodentia; Sciuridae. The record is from Rfam by way of RNAcentral.
GGGGGUGGAGCUCAGUGGCAGAGCACUUGGUUAGCAUGCACAAGGCCCUGGGUUCAGUCCCCAGCGCUGCCA